GAGCGGCCAUUUUGUGUUAUUAGAGUGAGGGGCGAAUUGUUAUUCAAUUCUUUGCCUCUGUUCUAUACUGUUUCACAUGCCUUUUUUCAGUUAGGGACGUUACAGUUUAGCCCAGUUGAGGUAAAAAGCAACACACUGAUAAUUUACUCUUUUCUCUCUGUGUUGUGCUGGGUCUGCUCACAAUAAGCUUCAAACUGGCCUCAAGAGAAGUUUACAAAAUGUUUUUAAAAAGAAAGGGAAAGUAAAUUAAUCCAGGGCCUGACAGACAGAGCCAAACAGCUACAAAUGAGAGUGUGAGAUGCGCCUAUUUUUCCAUUGUAUUGCUUACAUGAAAAAAGGAAAAUCAGCUGACUUUUGGGUUUGGUCUGGCAGCAAAUUUUCAGCAGCCUUAUCUAAAGCGAGAGUCCUUGUGCCGUGAGAAGCAUCCUACCUGUGCAAACAAUGCUACAUCAUGGUAAUCUCUGUUGUU
This is a long non-coding RNA of Xenopus laevis (African clawed frog), 469 nucleotides long. RefSeq lists it as uncharacterized. NCBI's taxonomy places the organism in Eukaryota, Metazoa, Chordata, Amphibia, Anura, Pipidae. The record is from RefSeq and is a predicted model, not a curated record. The transcript is spliced from 3 exons.